ACGAAGGUCCCGAGCGUUAUUCGGAAUCACUGGGCGUAAAGGGAGCGUAGGCUGCGCGGUAAGUCAGAUGUGAAAUCUGGGGGCUCAACCCCCAAACUGCAUUCGAUACUGCCGUGCUAGAGUAAUGGAGGGGUAACUGGAAUUCUCAGUGUAGCAGUGAAAUGCGUAGAUAUUGAGAGGAAGACCAAUGGCGAAAGCAGGUUACUGGACAUUUACUGACGCUGAGGCUCGAAGGCUAGGGGAGCAAAAGGGAUUAGAUACCCCUGUAGUCCUAGCAGUAAACGAUGUGCGCUUGGUGUGGGAGGGUUCGACCCCUUCUGUGCCGGAGCUAACGCGUUAAGCGCACCGCCUGGGGAGUACGGUCGCAAGACUA
RNAcentral lists this ribosomal RNA (373 nucleotides) under uncultured bacterium. Its description in RNAcentral is "bacterial SSU rRNA". It matches the Rfam family "Bacterial small subunit ribosomal RNA", at positions 525 to 896 of the family's 1533-position model. The record is from RNAcentral.